Oncorhynchus keta (chum salmon) is the source of this 601-nucleotide long non-coding RNA. RefSeq lists it as uncharacterized. The transcript has 3 exons. The record is from RefSeq and is a predicted model, not a curated record. Lineage: Eukaryota; Metazoa; Chordata; Actinopteri; Salmoniformes; Salmonidae.
AUGACAGUGAGUACAGGUGAUGUAACAUAUGAGGGUAGAACUGACUAUGACAGUGAGUACAGGUGAUGUAACAUAUGAGGGUAGAACUGACUAUGACAGUGAGUACAGGUGAUGUAACAUAUGAGGGUAGAACUGACUAUGACAGUGAGUACAGGUGAUGUAACAUAUGAGGGUAGAACUGACUAUGACAGUGAGUACAGGUGAUGUAACAUAUGAGGGUAGAACUGACUAUGACAGUGAGUACAGGUGAUGUAACAUAUGAGGGUAGAACUGACUAUGACAGUGAGUACAGGUGAUGUAACAUAUGAGGGUAGAACUGACUAUGACAGUGAGUACAGGUGAUGUAACAUAUGAGGGUAGAACUGACUAUGACAGUGAGUACAGGUGAUGUAACAUAUGAGGGUAGAACUGACUAUGACAGUGAGUACAGGUGAUGUAACAUAUGAGGGUAGAACUGACUAUGACAGUGAGUACAGGUGAUGUGACAUAUGAGGGUAGAACUGUAGAACUCACUGUUAACUGUAGCACACACACUUCAGACAGCAUGUGGCUGUGAUCUAUAUGUGGUUUGUCCGCAAUGACAUUUGACCUCUGACAUGGC